GAUGAACGCUGGCGGCGUGCCUAAUACAUGCAAGUAGAACGCUGAAGGAGGAGCUUGCUCUUCUGGAUGAGUUGCGAACGGGUGAGUAACGCGUAGGUAACCUGCCUGGUAGCGGGGGAUAACUAUUGGAAACGAUAGCUAAUACCGCAUGACAACAGUUAUUGCAUGAUAACUGUUUAAAAGGGGCAACUGCUCCACUACCAGAUGGACCUGCGUUGUAUUAGCUAGUUGGUGAGGUGACGGCUCACCAAGGCGACGAUACAUAGCCGACCUGAGAGGGUGAUCGGCCACACUGGGACUGAGACACGGCCCAGACUCCUACGGGAGGCAGCAGUAGGGAAUCUUCGGCAAUGGACGGAAGUCUGACCGAGCAACGCCGCGUGAGUGAAGAAGGUUUUCGGAUCGUAAAGCUCUGUUGUAAGAGAAGAACGAGUGUGAGAGUGGAAAGUUCACACUGUGACGGUAUCUUACCAGAAAGGGAUGGCUAACUACGUG
This 495-nucleotide ribosomal RNA is filed under the name uncultured bacterium. RNAcentral describes it as "partial 16S ribosomal RNA". It matches the Rfam family "Bacterial small subunit ribosomal RNA", at positions 28 to 507 of the family's 1533-position model. The record is from RNAcentral.